RNAcentral lists this unclassified non-coding RNA (311 nucleotides) under plant metagenome. RNAcentral's name for it is "partial contains 5.8S ribosomal RNA, internal transcribed spacer 2, and large subunit ribosomal RNA". The stretch from base 1 to 105 matches the Rfam family "5.8S ribosomal RNA", at positions 50 to 154 of the family's 154-position model. The record is from RNAcentral.
GAAAUGCGAUAAGUAAUGUGAAUUGCAGAAUUCAGUGAAUCAUCGAAUCUUUGAACGCGCAUUGCGCCCGCCAGUAUUCUGGCGGGCAUGCCUGUUCGAGCGUCAUUUCCACCAUCAGGCCCCCGGGCCUGUGUUGGGGACCUGCGGCUGCCCGCAGGCCCCGAAAUUCAGUGGCGGUCGCGCCGUAGCAACCGAGCGUAGUAACUAAAACGUCUCGCUCUGGCUCGCUGGGCGCGCUCCGGCCGUAAAACACCCCCCCUUUUCGCAAAGGUUGACCUCGGAUCAGGUAGGAAUACCCGCUGAACUUAAGC